Non-coding RNA from Stenotrophomonas maltophilia, 84 nucleotides. The record is from Rfam. NCBI's taxonomy places the organism in Bacteria, Pseudomonadati, Pseudomonadota, Gammaproteobacteria, Lysobacterales, Lysobacteraceae.
GCCGAAGUGGCGGAAUCGGUAGACGCAGCGGAUUCAAAAUCCGCCGCCCUUAAAAGCGUGUGGGUUCGAGUCCCACCUUCGGCA